RNAcentral lists this unclassified non-coding RNA (3062 nucleotides) under Megachile rotundata (alfalfa leafcutting bee). RNAcentral describes it as "vacuole membrane protein 1-like, transcript variant X5". The record is from RNAcentral. Lineage: Eukaryota; Metazoa; Arthropoda; Insecta; Hymenoptera; Megachilidae.
UCAAACAUUCAAUACGAUAAGCUUACAGUAGUGAGUACAUAUAUAGGGGAAUUUAUUCUAACUGAUAUUAAACUGAAGAAAGUGAUCACUAAAGAGACUAAUGAUUAGGCAUUUUUAUACACGUAGACUUGCGCGUACUCAUGCUCAUAUAGCAUAUAUAGGAAGUGCUGUGGGUCAGACACAUGAAUGUAAUACAUGUGAUACUGUCGAGUUGACAGUUUAAUUAAUUAAAAAAAUAACGUUAACUUUCUUUAGUGCACAUGCUAGCGAUUGAUAGUUUAAAACAUUAUAAAGUAAUUUAUUUUUCUUUCAAAUCCUUGUUUUAUAAUGAUUUGAAAACAACUAAAUUUUUAUUGAUUCAACAUUUAGUCACGUUCGUAUUUUAAGGUUAAAAGUAUUAGUAAUAGUAACUAGUUGAUGGUGCAGAUUGGCUAAUGCAGUUUGACAAUGGUGCGAAGAAAAGUAGAUCGAAAGAAAAGCACUGCUUCUAGUAUGGGUAUUUCCAAUAAUGUAAAGAAUUUUGAUGGCAGUUUUAUUUACAUGGAUAGUAAAAAUACAAUGAAUGCUACUACAGUGAUACCAGUUUCACAACUUACACAUAAACAAUCUAAAGGCUUAUUAAAAGAACAUCUGCCCAUUUCAGGAAAGAGGACAAACAUGGUAUAUAAUAAUAUUGAACUAGGAGGUAUCAUGUUGGAAAAUACCACUGCCAAGCGACGUGUGAAGGUUUCAAUUCCUGUUAAUGGUGCACAACAAAAUAUUGAACAGAAAAAAUCACCUGCACCAUUUUCAGAAGAUCGAAACAAUUUAAAUAAUGAAUUUUAUAUAGAUACAGAAUGUUUAUCGUUAUGGCAGCAUCCAAUUACUACAUUAAAUUACUUUUUCCGAGAACUUUUUAGUAACAUAUUCAGCUUAGGAAAAAAGGCAUUACAUCACAAAAAAAUAGUAUGGAGUAUUGUAUCAAUAAUUAUAUUGUUUCUGGUAUUAAACAGAAUUUCUGGUCCACAUCAACAGAUUUUGAGAGCAUGGGAGACAAAAAUUAUUUGGUGGCUAUAUUGGAUAGGUUUAGGUGUUCUUUCAAGUGUAGGUCUUGGUACAGGUUUACACACUUUUGUACUUUAUCUAGGACCACAUAUAGCAGCUGUUACUAUGGCUGCAUAUGAAUGUGGUGCUCUUAAUUUUCCUGAACCACCGUAUCCUGAUCAAAUAAUAUGUCCAACAACAAUCGAUCCAAUGUGGACUGCAGGAAUAUUAAAUAUUAUGAGAAAAGUACGUAUUGAAGCUAUGCUUUGGGGUGCUGGUACUGCACUUGGUGAAUUACCACCAUAUUUUAUGGCCAGAGCUGCUCGAACUAGCAGACACGAUGGUAAAGAUGAAAAAUUUGAUCAAGAAGAUUUGAAAGAAUUAGAAGCCUUAGAAGCUUUAGAAAAUGGUGAAAAUGUAUCAUUACUAAUACGUAUAAAACUAACCAUGAAACAUUUUGUACAAAAAGCAGGUUUUUGGGGAAUACUCGCCUGUGCAUCAAUUCCUAACCCAUUGUUUGAUCUUGCUGGUUUAACAUGUGGCCAUUAUUUAAUUCCUUUUUGGACAUUUUUUGGUGCUACACUCAUAGGAAAGGCUAUUAUAAAAAUGCACAUUCAACAACUUGCAGUAAUCAUAGCUUUCAAUGAAGAACUUCUAGAUAAAUUUAUUAAAUUAUUAGCAAUUGUACCAUAUGUUGGUUCAAAGUUUCAAGAACCAUUGAAAAGAUAUCUUAUUGAACAGAAAAAGAAGUUACAUGAUAAAACAUCAAUGGAUGGAACAACAACAAUUUCGUGGUUAUUUGAUAAAUUUGUAAUGUUGAUGGUAUGUUACUUUUUGGUAACAAUUAUUCAUGCUUUAGCAAGAAAUUAUCAUCGUAAACGAACUAAACGUACCGAUUAAAGUUCAGUAAAUACAGGAUAUGUAAUGUAAAUGUAAAAUUCAUUAUUAAACAACGUACAGAUGAAAAUUACUACUACAGCGCAAUAUAAUUAAGAAUGCUUCAAAAACAUUGGAAUUAUCUCCAUAUUUAUAAAUAUGUAUGUAUAUAAAAAUGUACAUACAUAUGCUAGGAGAGAUUUACAUGCAUUGUGUAACAUAAUACGUGCAUUUUACUUUUUCGUAAUAUUAUUAAAAAUAUUGCAAUUUAUAACUUGAGAGUUGUUUGUAGAAUUUAUAUUAUUAUUAGUAUCAACAAUUUUUCUCAUAGUACGAUUUAAAAGAUAUAAAGCUUUUUAUAAAAACUCAUGCGAAUUCUUUUAGGUAUCCAUAAUAGUUAUUGAAUACAUACAUUCUUGUCAGCACUUUGUGUCAAUAAGAUGAAAAAAGUUUCUAUAACUUGGUAUAUACAAAAUAUAUAUUACUGUUAAGACUCGAUUAAAGCUCAUUGUCCUUUUUUCAUGUUGUUUACUUUCUUUUUAUAUCCACAGAUAUAAAAAGAUAUAAAAAGUUGAAUAUUUUGUAAUUAGAUUCUUCAGUAUGAAAUCAGGAAUGUACAUAAUCAAUCAUAUGGUAUUAUUAACUUUGAGACUUAUUUAGGGAGCAAAAUUAAAAUGUUCAUUUACAUGUAUGGAAAAAUAUUAUGUAACAACCAGAGGUGAAUCCAGAAGCUGUGGCGAAAUGUAUAAUUAUUUAUAUAUUAUAAUCAAUGACUCAAUUAUAGUAUGUGUGGUAAAAUAAUUUAUUUUAUUAAACAUAAAUCAAAUAUAAAAAUAUUAAAAUCUAACGAUAUUAAGAUACUGAUGAAGACAAUUCAAGUUUACAAUAUAAAUGAAGUUCUUAAAGUUUUGUAAUUUCUAGAUUCACCUCUGCUAAUAUCUGAAUCUAUGAUAAAGUUAUUUUUCAUGAUUUCAUAUAAAUUAAUAUGUUUUGUGAUAAAUACAUAGUAAUGUAAUAUAGAUGCAAUUGUCAGUUUUUCACUGUAUAUCUUUAUUAUUUGCAAACAUUAAAUAUUGUUCAUUACAAAGCAUUUAAUGAAUGGACAUAUUGUUAGUUGUAAUUCACAGAUUUCUGGAAAUAGAAAAUUAAAUAUAAAUUAAAAA